UACGUAGGGUGCAAGCGUUGUCCGGAAUUAUUGGGCGUAAAGAGCUCGUAGGCGGUUCGUCGCGUCGGCUGUGAAAACCCGGAGCUCAACUCCGGGCCUGCAGUCGAUACGGGCGGACUGGAGUGUUGCAGGGGAGACUGGAAUUCCUGGUGUAGCGGUGAAAUACGCAGAUAUCAGGAGGAACACCGGUGGCGAAGGCGGGUCUCUGGGCAACUACUGACGCUGAGGAGCGAAAGCGUGGGGAGCGAACAGG
RNAcentral lists this ribosomal RNA (253 nucleotides) under uncultured bacterium. RNAcentral describes it as "partial 16S ribosomal RNA". It matches the Rfam family "Bacterial small subunit ribosomal RNA", at positions 524 to 776 of the family's 1533-position model. The record is from RNAcentral.